AUGCUAGGGGGGCUUUAAGCUGAGAUUGUAUGUUUGUACAGACCCUUAUUACCUGAUCCGGUUAAUACCGGCGUAGGGAAGCAGGA
This 86-nucleotide non-coding RNA is filed under the name bovine gut metagenome. RNAcentral's name for it is "TPP riboswitch (THI element)". It matches the Rfam family "TPP riboswitch aptamer (THI element)", at positions 7 to 92 of the family's 105-position model. From Rfam's summary of the family: Vitamin B(1) in its active form thiamin pyrophosphate (TPP) is an essential coenzyme that is synthesised by coupling of pyrimidine and thiazole moieties in bacteria. The previously detected thiamin-regulatory element, thi box was extended, resulting in a new, highly conserved RNA secondary structure, the THI element, which is widely distributed in eubacteria and also occurs in some archaea. The record is from RNAcentral.